Molecule: ribosomal RNA, 406 nt
Filed under: uncultured bacterium
Lineage: Bacteria
Description: partial 16S ribosomal RNA
Rfam family: Bacterial small subunit ribosomal RNA
Source: RNAcentral
AUUGAACGCUGGCGGCAUGCUUUACACAUGCAAGUCGAACGAGUGGCGAACGGGUGAGUAACGAAUGGGAACGUACCGAAUGGUGGGGGAUAACUGUCUGAAAGGACAGCUAAUACCGCAUAUCAUCCGAUUUGCCCACUUCUGAUUAGCUGGUGUGUGGGGUAAAGGCUCACCGAGGCGACGAUCACUAGAGGGUCUGAGAGGAUGACCAGCCACACGGGGAAUGAGACACGGCCCAGACUCCUACGGGAGGCAGCAGUGGGGAAUAUUGAACAAUGGGCGCAAGCCUGAUCCAGCCAUGCCGCGUGUAUGAAGAAGGCCUUCGGGUUGUAAAGGACUUUUGUCAGGGAGGCGGUACCUGAAGAAUAAGCACCGGCUAACUACGUGCCAGCAGCCGCGGUAAUAC